CCUACGGGUGGCUGCAGUAGGGAAUCUUUGGCAAUGGACGAAAGUCUGACCGAGCAACGCCGCGUGAGUGAAGAAGGUUUUCGGAUCGUAAAACUCUGUUGGUAGCGAAGAACGUUGGUGAGAGUGGAAAGCACAUCAAGUGACGGUAACUACCCAGAAAGGGAGGGCUAACUACGUGCCAGGCGCCGCGGUAAUACGUAGGUCACGAGCGUUGUCCGGAUUUAUUGGGCGUGAAGCGAGCGCAGGUGGUUAAUUAAGGCUGGUGUAAAAGGCAGUGGCAAAACCAUUGUAUGCACGGGAAACUGGUAGACUUGAGUGCAGGAGAGGAGAGUGGAAUUUCAUGUGUAGCGGUGAAAUGCGUAGAUAUAUGGAGGAACACCGGUGGCGAAAGCGGCUCUCUGGCCCGGAACUGACACUGAGGCACGAAAGCGUGGGGAGCAAACAGGAUUAGAUACCCGUGUAGUC
RNAcentral lists this ribosomal RNA (465 nucleotides) under uncultured bacterium. Its description in RNAcentral is "partial 16S ribosomal RNA". It matches the Rfam family "Bacterial small subunit ribosomal RNA", at positions 338 to 795 of the family's 1533-position model. The record is from RNAcentral.